This 492-nucleotide ribosomal RNA is filed under the name uncultured bacterium. Its description in RNAcentral is "partial 16S ribosomal RNA". It matches the Rfam family "Bacterial small subunit ribosomal RNA", at positions 28 to 507 of the family's 1533-position model. The record is from RNAcentral.
GACGAACGCUGGCGGCGUGCUUAACACAUGCAAGUCGAACGGAAAGGCCCCCACUUUUUUGGUGGGGGUGCUCGAGUGGCGAACGGGUGAGUAACACGUGGGUGAUCUGCCCUGUACCUCGGGAUAAGCUUGGGAAACUGGGUCUAAUACCGGAUAGGACCAUGGUUUAGUGUCUCAUGGUGGAAAAAUUAUUGUUUUGGUGCAGGAUGAGCUCGCGGCCUAUUAGCUUGUUGGUGGGGUAAUGGCCUACCAAGGCGUCGACGGGUAGCCGGACUGAGAGGGUGGACGGCCACAUUGGGACUGAGAGACGGCCCAGACUCCGACGGGAGGCAGCAGUGGGGAAUAUUGCACAAUGGGCGCAAGCCUGAGGCAGCGACGCCGCGUGGGGGAUGACGGCCUUCGGGUUGUAAACUCCUUUCGUUAGGGACGAAGCCGCACCUUUUUUGGGUGUGGUGACGGUACCUUUGUUAAGAAGCACCGGCUAACUACGUG